Molecule: long non-coding RNA, 3752 nt
Organism: Homo sapiens (human)
Lineage: Eukaryota; Metazoa; Chordata; Mammalia; Primates; Hominidae
Exons: 4
Source: RefSeq, a predicted model, not a curated record
AGACAGGAACAAGCCAGAAGCACACUGAAACCUAUCCAAAAGCAUCCCAGGAGGGCACACUGAGUGCCGCAUGGAGCCUGCACCACCAUGGGGAGGAAGCAGCCACCGCCUUCCUGAAUCCCCACCAGGCAGAAACAUCUCUCCCGUCUUUGAACUUCACCACGCCGUGCAUCUUCCUCUGGGUGUGCAAUCGUCACCUGCGUACAUGAUUGAUUCUGCCCCCAACACUAGACUGCAGAAAGAACUCAAAGCUCAGAUGGUCAGGGUCCUGUUGGUUCAUCAAGCUCAGCCUGCCUGGAGGCAGCCACUGUGUUGUUCCCUCUCUUCGUCCUCCCUCUGCACUCUCUCUUGCCACGGGACAUUUGCACAAGCAGUUCCCUCUAACUGGAACACUAAGAAAUAUGGAAGUAAAAGGGGUUGGGAGAAAAGACAGGAGUCACAGGUGACUGUGUGGGAUGAGGAGAGUCGUGAAAACUUUUUUUUUUUUUUUUUGAGAUGGAGUCUCGCUUUGUCACCCAGGCUGGAGUGCCAGUGGUGCCAAUCUCGGCUCACCGCAACUUCCACCUCCCAGGUUCAAGCAGUUCUCCUGCCUCAGCCUCCUGAGUAGCUGGGAUUACAGUUGCCUGCCACCACGCCUGGCUAAUAUUUGUAUUCUUAGUAGAGAAGAGGUUUCACCAUGUUGGCCAGGCUGGUCUCAAACUCCUGACCUCAGGUGAUCCACCUGCCUCAGCCUCCCAAAGUGCUGGGAUUACAGGCAUGAGCCACUGCACCCGGCCGAAAACAUUAAGAGUAGGUGGAUGUUACUUUGGACACCAAAUGAAGAAGUGUGCCGAGCUGAAAGAGAAAAGGAGAAGAAAAUGGACAUGACAUUUACGGGGUUCCUCUUGCAGAGAGAGAACCGUGUAGAAGGUCCACACCCGCCGUAUCCUACUGCACGGUGCUGGAAGGCACAUGGAAGACUAUUGCAGCCCAAUCUUCUCAUGACAAAGACAGGAAAAUGGAGCCCUCUAAGAGAAAGUGACUGAUCCACCCUUAUGCUCUUAAAUGGUAAGCGUCCAGGGAUCAUCCAAGUUAAGAUGGCCCACACGCAGCUGGCAAGGCAGGACCCGAGGCUGAAUGAGACGUACAAUUGGCUCCACGGUACUGGCAGAACCCACAGCUAGUUUUCAAUGCUGAGAACUGUCCAUCCUGGCAGAGGCUCACUGCCCUCUGUGCCCUCCCUGGUUGCCUGGGCAGAUGGUGAGCUCUGGUUGCCAAGGAGCCCGCGUUGGCAGUUCUGAAAUGGGGUGCGUCAGCAGCCUCGCUCCAGCGGCUUCCCACAUCCUUGAGUAACCACCACACAAAGGUGCUGGGCAUGAGACCAAGGGUGCGGCGGAGAUCGAAUUAGUAAUACACACUCGGUGACCCUCCCCAGCCAGGUUUCACUGCGUGCUUAUGACCAACAUUCAUCCCUUCCUUAGCAUCUGUGGUGUCUUUAAGGGCCAAGUAAAAAGGUAAAACUGCAGGGAGUCAGGAGGGGGAAACUGGCCUGGGGUACAGAGUCCCUCACAAUGAAAAUAUAUGUAACUGGCUACUUGUAGGUCAUGAUGCAUUAAGUGAUCCUGUCAAAAGUUGAAAGUGGGCUACAGUGGGACAGGCAAUGCCCAGAGGGAGGCAGAAAGGUGUAAAUAAUCCGAGGUGAAUGUGGGUCUUGUUGGCAUGGUAGAUUUAUGCCCUGCCUUCAUAAUGUACCCUUUCAUCUUGGGAGCCUGGAUUCCAAAAAUCUAGUCUAGACAGGAAUUGAUGGUGCUACCUCUCAGCUUACAUCGUUCAAGGUUUCUCAACACCAAAGACUCCUGAAUAUUGAUGGGAACAACCCACUUAGCCAGGGGAUAUUGCUCAGAACUCAGGAGGCCAAAGGCAUCAUUCUUCCAGGCACGGAGGCCCUGCUCAGAAACAGCCCUACAGAGGCAGAGUCACUCAUUCUGGGGGAUGACGCUGCCUUUUGUCUUCAUCUCCCCAAGUGGGAGACAAGUCCCAUCACGCCUGCCACCUGGCAGUCAGCCUUGCGCCUUCUCUUUCGUCCUUUUCAUGUGUGCUCCGUGCCGGUUUCAGCAGCUUUCAUCAGAGACUGAAACUACCACCACUCCCAUCACCUCCCAGGGCCAUGGGCAGGCCCUGGCUGACAGAUCCAGGCCUAGGAGCCUGGGCAACGAUAAAUAGGUGGUUGGGAGGACCUCUCCGAGCCCCCUUCUCUGCCCAGGCAGGCUUUCUCCUUGGGUGGCCAGAGCCAGGGCCCAGGAUCCCCUGCUGCAAGAACUGAGAGGCUGAGGGGCUUCACUCCUGAGGAAGGUCCUCUCUUCCUAAUCCCCGUGCUUUGGGCCCAGCAAAUUCAGCCUGGGAACUGGGGGCUGCUGUGGAAGAGAGAUGGAGCUAGGGAGCAUUUAUAGUGCAGCACCUGAGGCUGAGCAGUGACAGAGCUGCGGGCCUGAGAAUUACAAAACAGACUUAAACAGAUGAAAUAUUGCCCAGGCAUGGUGGCUCUUGCCUGUAAUCCUAGCACUUUGGGAGGCCGAGGCAGGCGGAUCACUUGAGGUCAGGAGUUUGAGACCAGCCUGGCCAACAUGGUGAAACCCCAUCUCUACUAAAUAUUAGCUGGGUGUGGUGGUGGGCACCUGUAAUCCCAGCUACUUGGGAGGCUGAGGCAGGAGAAUUGCUUGAACCCGGGUGGCAGAGGUUGCAGUGAUCUGAGAUCGUGCCACUGCACUCCAGCCUGGGUGACAGAGCCAGACUCUGUCUAAAAAAAAAAAAACAAAACAAAACAACAACAACAACAAAAACCCAUGAAAUAUUAACUGAUGCAGGGAAAACAGACAAAAACUAUACAUGCUCAAAACAAAACGAAAAAGGGCACAGGGCUCAGAAACCAGUUUGUCGUCUUUGUGAACAGCUGGGAACUCUGACUCAUGCACUGUCCCCUGUUCUCUAUGCCACAGGAAUGAGGCAGCAAGAGGCCAGAUUCUGCCGGAGACAGAGCAGAGAGCCAAACCAUCGCCACUUAUUGGUGCAUGAACCUGGGCAAGGCAGGGGUAUCCCUGAGCCUCAGCUUCCUUGUUUGCAAAAUGGUGACAUGCCUACUUCCAGAGCUGUUGUUAAGGUUAAAUGAUGACGCAGUUUACCAUAUGCCAGGCACAUAGUAGGCACUAAAUAGUUGCAAUUAUUAGCCCUGAGCAAACAUUGCUCAGCCAUUCCCUUGUAAAGCCUAUUCUCAAACCAACUUUCCAUGUGGACGUUCAAUCAUCUUUCUGGAUGACCUCGCCUUACCCAUUGCCUCAGAUUCUGUGUGUGUGUGUGUAUAGAAGAAACAAAGAAAAAAAGUGCUUUUCACAUAGUGAGGACAUUUCCCCAUCCUAUGAGUCUGUGUAUGUGUGUGCAUAUGUAUAUGUAUGUACACACACACACACACACACACACACACACACACACACACUGCCCCGUGGAAUAGGCAGGACGGGGUUGCAUUUCCCCUCUUUUAAAGGUGAGGAUGCUGAGCCUCAGAAAGAUCAAGUGACCUGAACAAAGUCACACAGCCAAUGUGUUUCUCCAAAAGAAAUGACCAGGAGUCAGUGUUUCUUUAUACAAGGGUGUCCAAUCUUUUGGCUUCUCGGCCACACUGGAAGAAGAAGAAUUGUCUUGGGCCACACAUAAAGUACACUAGCACUAAUGAUAGCUGAUGAGCUAAAAAAAUAAAAAUAAAAAUCACACACAAAAAA